This is a long non-coding RNA of Pseudophryne corroboree (corroboree frog), 525 nucleotides long. RefSeq lists it as uncharacterized. Lineage: Eukaryota; Metazoa; Chordata; Amphibia; Anura; Myobatrachidae. The transcript is spliced from 5 exons. The record is from RefSeq and is a predicted model, not a curated record.
UAUUCUGAGACUUACUGAGGAAGUUACGUCAUUUAUAUCUCUGUGAUUAUCAAACCAGCUACAUAAUUCCUGAGGUUUAUUUUCCCAUGGAUCAACAUUUGAACUAGAAAUAGUCUUCACUAUAAGAGUUGGAUACCACACCUUAGGCAGUUUACAAAAAUGCAGACAUAUGGUUGUCAAACACUCCUAAGAGACUAUAAUUAAUAGUUUCCCCAGGUGACUCUAUAAGGAAUUAUGUCGUAUUAGUUUUAAGGUAGUUUGUUAAAAACACCAAUUUUAACAGAAUACACUCCUUAGAAGGAUCAGCAUUUAAGUUCCAAUUAGGAGCCUCGAUAUAAGAGCUCCAUCCACUAAGCUUUGAUAUAGGAGAUUCUGAUCAACUCUACACUUGAGGUAGUUUGCAAAAGACACCAAUUUUAACAGAAUACACUUUCAAGUGGGAUUAUCAUUCAAGCUCCAGUUAGGAGCCCCAAUAUAAGAGUUCCAUCUAUUAAGUCUCGAUAUAGGAGAUUCUGAUCAACUUCA